RNAcentral lists this long non-coding RNA (1115 nucleotides) under Sus scrofa (pig). RNAcentral's name for it is "lncRNA (ENSSSCG00060004427.1)". Lineage: Eukaryota; Metazoa; Chordata; Mammalia; Artiodactyla; Suidae. The record is from RNAcentral.
AUGGUUUCUCUCCGGAAGGUCAAGGACACCUCUCCCAGGCUGGCUCUGCCGGCAGGGCCCCUCCCGCAGCCUUCCCUAAACCCCGGACCCUUUCCGGCCCGCCACCCCCAGGCUCCCAGGGACACACUCCUGCUGCAGGCAGGCUCGGCUGGGUCUCGGAAGUGGCCUGCUCUCCCCGCUGCAUCACACGGAGCUGAUGUGCCAGAGCAAGUUAUUUUUAAAAGGUGUUCCCACAGCAUCACAAGGAUCCCGACCCAGAAACACCCUCCAGCCCCGCAGGCAGGCGCAGGACCACGGCCUUUGGGCCUCGCUGGGCUGGCGCUCUGCUCGCGGGGACACUCUUCCGAUGGUCUCGGUUCCUUUGACCCUCGGCUGAGGUGCUGCCAUCCUCUGGGCUGGUUCAAACAGCAGGCUCUGAAUGCAGAUGUCUCACCUCACCGGGUACUUCCUGGACGUGAUCCCCGUUGCCCGACACGUCUUUACUGCCUGUUGCCAUGCUCUAGGCCACGCAGACAUGCAAAAAGCCACAUGCGUUUAUGGGCGGGAUCAUGUUCCAAACUGUGAAGCCCGCUCAAGGGUCUUAUUCCAUUUGCCCACACGACAGCCCUGACAUCAGCAUGGCCCUUGACGUCGUGCAUGGCGCUGUCUCACUCUGCUGCCGGUCCCUCUGACCGGGACACCAUCCAGCCCAAGUCUCAGUCCCUUUAAGAAAUACUCAGACUGGAGUUCCCGUCAGGGCUCAGCAGUUAAGGAACCUGACUGGUAUCCAUGAGGACACAGGUUUGAUCCCUGGCCUCACUCAGUGGGUUAAGGAUCCGGCGUCACCAUGAGCUGUGGUGUAGGUCGAAAAUGUGGCUCGGAUCCCACGUUGCUGUGGCUGUGGUGUAGGCUACAGCUCCAAUUGGACCCCUGGCCUAGGAACCUCCAUAUGCCGUGGGUGUGGCCCUAAAAAAAAAAAAAACAUACGUUACUUAAAAAAAGAAGAGCCUGUUUAGAAAAUGCACAGGUAGAAUUUAGAAAGGGGGGCAUCGGAGGUGUACCCCUAAACCACUGCUUAUCUUGCCCCUCGGAGGCUAGAAAAUAAAUUCAGUUCAGAUUUGAAGUUGGUCUAAAUU